AAGGUACGCCGGGGAUAACAGGCUGAUCCUAGCCAAGAGUUCACAUCGACGCUAGGGUUUGGCACCUCGAUGUCGGCUCAUCACAUCCUGGAGCUGUAGCAGGUUCCAAGGGUCCGGCUGUUCGCCGGUUAAAGUGGUACGUGAGCUGGGUUUAGAACGUCGCGAGACAGUUCGGUCCCUAUCUGUCAUGGGCGGAGGAGAUUUGAGUGGGGCUGUCCUUAGUACGAGAGGACCGGGAUGGACGCACCUCUGGUGUACGAGUUGUCGUGCCAACGGCAGCGCUCGGUAGCUACGUGCGGAUGGGAGAAACGCUGAAUGCAUCUAAGCGUGAAACCCUCCACAAGAUGAGAUCUCCCAGGUCGCAAGACCUCUAAAGGCUCCUGGAAGAUUACCAGGUGAUAGGUCGGGUGUGGAAGCACAGCGAUGUGUGGAGCUAACCGAUACUAAUCAGCCGUGAGGCUUGACCAUA
RNAcentral lists this ribosomal RNA (469 nucleotides) under Acidobacteriota bacterium. RNAcentral describes it as "Acidobacteria bacterium (soil metagenome) partial 23S ribosomal RNA". It matches the Rfam family "Bacterial large subunit ribosomal RNA", at positions 2460 to 2925 of the family's 2925-position model. Lineage: Bacteria; Pseudomonadati; Acidobacteriota. The record is from RNAcentral.